This is a long non-coding RNA of Apis florea (little honeybee), 1698 nucleotides long. The record is from RefSeq and is a predicted model, not a curated record. NCBI's taxonomy places the organism in Eukaryota, Metazoa, Arthropoda, Insecta, Hymenoptera, Apidae.
GAUCGUAAUUUUUUCCCGAUAUUUUUCAAGAGGAAUUAACUGUUUUAAUAGAAUUGUUAGGAGAAAUUAUUACGUUACUCUCGCGCGAUGUUAAUGGACACGAGUUUCACUUCUAAUUUUAUCGUUCAUUUAUCAUGACAGUCACGCAGUUAAACAGCUAAUCUAUUGAAUACAAUAGUUCAUGAAAUCCUCGAGUAAUGGAUUAGCCAGAUAUAUGUAUAGAAAGGUAAUUUAAUCGGCGAGUAUAGCAUCUAUUUUUGCCACUCAUUCAAUAAUGAAAUUUCAACGAGAUCUUUAACAAGUUCGAGAUUAUAUUUGGAAACAACACGCGUCGAAUUCAAGCAUACCUAUUACAAUCAUGCCACGUGACAGGCUGUUCUCCACGAGUAAAUUUUUAUACAAAUAAGACCAGUGUUAAUUAAUGUCAGUGGCACGUCAAGAACCAUAGAAGGUGUAGAGACAGAACACGAUUUGUACGAUCGAGUGGCGAGUAAUCGGGUCAUCAGGUUGACUUGGGCCGGCGAUUGGCCAAGAAACCAGACGAUUUUCGCGACAGCACUCGUUGACUAUGACUGUGACGGCGACUGCUGCGACGACAGCAACUGUGACGAUAGUGGUGGUGGCGGCGGUAACGGUGGUGGAGCCGACGGCGGCGGCAGAGGCGGUGGCGGUGGCAGCCACGACGGCUGUAGUGGUGACAGUGGCGAUGGCGGCGAGAUAGAGAAUUGAAGGAGACAGGAACAGUGAUGAAGGAAGAAGAGAGAGAGAGAGAGAGAGAGAGGUGUUACAUACGGAAGAAGGGGUUUAGAGAAUCGCGAGAUGGAAGAAGAGAAGAACAAGUAAGACGGGUAAGAGAGUAAGGUAGUACACGGAGGUGUGGGAUCAGCGCGAGACGCGGUAGAAACUCGAGGGACGGAAAGGGGCGAAAAGCGACGAGCGCCGCCGAGACGAGACGAGGCGCGACGAGGAAAGACGAUGAAGGCCGACGGGGGUCGCACACCGCGGCGCUGAACGCAGUGCCAUCCGAUAGGCAGCACCGCUUGCUCCACGGAUCUUCGGCUCGUUCGUUUCGAGCUUCGGUCGUUCGUUGUACGAUCCACGCUCGAUUCCGCUUCCUUCUUUUUCGUUCGUCUUGGCGUGGCUGCCGUGGCGUCCAUGCCGAGAAAGGAAAAGCCAGCAUCGACACGUUACACACGGUGGAAAACACGGAGCCGUCGCGAAGACGCGUGCACUGGUCGUGUGUGUCGUUGCCGCGCGUAGUUUUACGUGUACUGCGUAUACGUCUGAUCGUGCUCGUGAACAGAGGUGCCCCCUCUCCUCAUCCCGAACGGCGAACGCGUGGUGGUCAACACGAUACAUCAUCGUAACCCUUCCUCGAGGAUAAACGCUUGACGAAGAGAUUCGGAGUGUUUGGAAGCGCGGUGAAGCGGGAACACCAGAGGAUGCGAGCAGCGGAGGCGCGUUUACUCGCGAAUGCUCGUCCGGCGAUCGUUCCUGGCAACGAUCGGCACGGCUCGCGAUGAUGGCGGAGCGCGGUCGCGUAGCAGCGAUAUCGUGGUUCGAGUACGCGCGACGCGGAUACCUCGGUAGAAACGUUCGACACACGACGGGAUAAAUGCGAGACCGAAAUCUCGUGGGUGGACCAGUUGUCGCGGCGACGAAGAAGAGGAAGAAGAAAAAGAGGCAGCUGGAAUCGGG